GAUGAAGAACGCAGCGAAAUGCGAUACGUAAUGUGAAUUGCAAAUUCAGUGAAUCAUCGAGUCUUUGAACGCACAUUGCGCCCCCUGGUAUUCCGGGGGGCAUGCCUGUCCGAGCGUCAUUGCUGCCCUCAAGCACGGCUUGUGUGUUGGGCUCCGUCCUCCGAUCCCGGGGGACGGGCCCGAAAGGCAGCGGCGGCACCGCGUCCGGUCCUCGAGCGUAUGGGGCUUUGUCACCCGCUCUGUAGGCCCGGCCGGCGCUUGCCGAUCAACCCAAAUUUUUAUCCAGGUUGACCUCGGAUCAGGUAGGGAUACCCGCUGAACUUAAGCAUAUCAAUAAGCGGAGGA
This 345-nucleotide unclassified non-coding RNA is filed under the name soil metagenome. Its description in RNAcentral is "partial contains 5.8S ribosomal RNA, internal transcribed spacer 2, and large subunit ribosomal RNA". The stretch from base 1 to 119 matches the Rfam family "5.8S ribosomal RNA", at positions 35 to 154 of the family's 154-position model. The record is from RNAcentral.